RNAcentral lists this ribosomal RNA (75 nucleotides) under bacterium D16-59. RNAcentral's name for it is "partial 16S ribosomal RNA". It matches the Rfam family "Bacterial small subunit ribosomal RNA", at positions 1 to 73 of the family's 1533-position model. The record is from RNAcentral.
UUUAAUAUGAGAGUUUGAUCCUGGCUCAGGAUGAACGCUGGCGGCGUGCCUAACACAUGCAAGUCGAACGAAGAC